UUUUUUUAUUUUUAUUUUUUUUUCAUUCCUCCUUUUCGGGGUUUGACAUUGUGAUUUAGAAUUGCUUAUUAUUUAUUUUGGUGUUGAACGAAAUGAAUUUCCCUUGUUCAUCAAAUUGAAACUUGUUUUUUUGCUCCAAAUGAUUGAUGUUUUCUUUGCGGAGAAUGUUUGGUUAAUGGUAACAAAUGCAAAUAUAUUCAGGGAAAAUUACUCUUUAGUUAUUUAGUUAUUGUAUUUUAAUAAAAUUAAUUGCUUAGUUUUUCUAUUUUAAACAAUACAUAAUUCAGUUGUUUUAUUUUUAGUUUGUGGAUAGUUUAAUCUCUGCUGUAAAAUUUUUUUGUUAGUCAGGUGAGUUGCAGGAGAGAAUAAUUAUAGGUAGGUAUGGAAUAGUUGAUGGAUUUAAAAUUAUUAAGGUUAAACAAUUGUAUUAUUGAAAUCAUAGGGAUUGAAUAGUUGAAUUGAGAAGAAAUAUUUGCUUCGGGAUUGAAUGGUUGAGUUGGGAAGAAAUAUUUGACUCAGGAUUAAAUAAUAUAGGGAUUUAAAAGUAUUUUUUUUCAAAAUAGAUGGAUUAAAUAUUUUAGUAAAGUAUAAGGAUUAAGCAAUGUUUUUUAAAACUUAGAAGAAAAAUAAGUGAUGUUAGUUGAUAAUUGACGGUUUGAUUUAAACAAUUGGUGGUACGUCAAAAUCAAGGCCUUGUGAAUAAGCUCCUCUCUCUUGUUUUAAAAGAACUUUCUCUAUACAAAGUUUCUUCAUCUUGAGGCAUAGGUCUUUUGUUUAUGUCGAGCAGCAGUUGUGGCUCUUCCUUCUCAUUUGGUUGUGGGUUGCUCUCUUUGCCACUAGGUGGGUUGUAGAUAGGUAUUUUGUCCUUCACUGAGAAAGUGCCAUUAUUGAUAUUCUUUUUUAGCUAUAAUGUAUUUUGCUUCAAGUCUACAUGUUUUGAUGUUUGCAGGUACACAAAGGAGGCUAUACAUCAAUGUUGGAGCUCCAUUGCAAAAAAGGGAUGUAAGGAGCUUUUGUUGGGCAACUCGUUAGGCUCCAACACUGACAGAAAGUGUGAGUAGGAUUCUGAAGAGACGUACCACUACCAUUCUCAUAUGGGUUUUAUGAAGAUGCUUCGCUUCUCUUAUUUUGUUAGGCCUGAGUUUUUGUGUUUUCAAUGGGUGAAGGAUCCUGUCCAAGCUUCGCUUUACUGGUCUCGCAUGAUCAAGGCUCUACCGUCCUCAUGAUCUUGGGAUCUUUCUACAGUUGUGCUUUGUGGGUGUUGUUUUGGGGAAGCAUUUGUCUAUGGCUCCCUUGUGCGUUGUAUUGUUUUGGCUUCACAGGAAAGUCUGUUCGUUGGGGGCUAUGUAUCAUCCCUUACGGCAUGCUCUUUCUUUGGCCAAUUUUCUUUUGAGUUGAUUUAGGUUUCUGUGUGUUGUGAGCCUGUUUGGUUUGGGUUGAGA
RNAcentral lists this unclassified non-coding RNA (1442 nucleotides) under Hevea brasiliensis (rubber tree). The record is from RNAcentral. Lineage: Eukaryota; Viridiplantae; Streptophyta; Magnoliopsida; Malpighiales; Euphorbiaceae.